GCAAAUAUUCAAAUUUCUAUAACAAACCUUAAAGAAAAUUCUCACCUUACAAAGUAUUUUAUGAAAAAUCACCUAAUUAAUCAACCGCAAGGGCUAACACUCAGCUUUUUCAAGAAAUGAUAAUUCCAUGUCCCUCUUGCAUCAUGGAGAAGCAACAAAAUCAUAGCAACCUACACUCCCGAAUGACCAUGAGCUACUAACCCUUAAAAAUCAGUGUUUCAUAAUUGAUAAAGUAACUUUUAGUAGAAGUAACAAGCCUUUCAUAUAGUCAAAUAGCUGGUUUUUCUUCAAAAGCAUCAAAGUGCUAGCUUAUAAUAUAACCCACUUCUUUAGGUUAUAAAGCUUAGCCUAUUGAGGAUAAGCUCAAUAGGGUCUCAAAAAUUUUUUAUUACUCAACCUCGUUAGUAGGCUCAAAAGCAGCCAUCUAAUAACGUUUUAGUUACUGAAAUCACCCAUUUAAUAUUUAUACAUCCUAUUUUAAAAUCAAAGAAAUUUAACAAAAAAUUUUACUGUUACUAAACAGGCAUUCUAUUAGUAUUAACAAAACCUAUUACCCAAUAAUCACUAAAAGAAUUUGGACCGAAAUAUAUUUUUAUAUAAACUAUACAAAGCGAACUCGGCAAAUCAAUUCCCUGCCUGUUUACCAAAAACAUCGUCUUUUGAUAAUCUCCCAUAAAAGAUAAUGCCUGCCCAGUGAAAUUUUAAACGGCCGCGUUAGCGUGAGCGUGCUAAGGUAGCGUAAUAAUUAGCCUUUUAAUUGGAGGCCAGUGAAUGGCAAGACUAGGAACACCUUUACUUUGUAUACAAAAAAAACUUUUCGUCUAAGCGAAAAGACUUAGAUGAUAAAGGUAGACGAAAAGACCCCGCGGAACUUUACCUUUUCCUGUACUCCCGUGCAUCCACCUAAAAGUACUUGAGGUUUGAUUGGGGCAAUCUUGGAACCAACAAAGCUUCCAACUUUUUAAAAACCUAUAUAAAAUUUACUAAAGACCAAAAAGAAGUUACCCCGGGGAUAACAGCGUAAUCCAACUAAAGAGUACAUAUCGAAAGUUGGGUUUGCGACCUCGAUGUUGGCUUAAGGAUAUCCACAUUAGUGCAACCGCUAUGACAGGAUAGUCUGUUCGACUAUUAUACCCUUACACGAGCUGAGUUAAGACCGGCGCAAGCUAGGUUGGUUUCUAUCUCCUUUACUAAAAUUCUUCUUGAUUGUACGAAAGGACCCUAAGAGCUGCACCUUUUAAAAGCAUUUUUAAAUUUAACUUUAUUUCAC
This 1270-nucleotide ribosomal RNA is filed under the name Anodonta cygnea. RNAcentral's name for it is "16S ribosomal RNA". The stretch from base 822 to 1192 matches the Rfam family "Bacterial large subunit ribosomal RNA", at positions 2049 to 2651 of the family's 2925-position model. The record is from RNAcentral. Lineage: Eukaryota; Metazoa; Mollusca; Bivalvia; Unionida; Unionidae.